This 75-nucleotide transfer RNA is filed under the name Candidatus Roizmanbacteria bacterium. RNAcentral's name for it is "tRNA-Met". It matches the Rfam family "tRNA". From Rfam's summary of the family: Transfer RNA (tRNA) molecules are approximately 80 nucleotides in length. Their secondary structure includes four short double-helical elements and three loops (D, anti-codon, and T loops). Lineage: Bacteria; Candidatus Roizmaniibacteriota. The record is from RNAcentral.
ACCGCCAUAGCUCAUCGGCAGAGCAGUCGUUUCAUAAGCGAUUGGUAAGAGGUUCGAUUCCUCUUGGCGGCACCA